This 273-nucleotide long non-coding RNA is filed under the name Mustela putorius furo (domestic ferret). RNAcentral's name for it is "lncRNA (ENSMPUG00000029345.1)". The record is from RNAcentral. Lineage: Eukaryota; Metazoa; Chordata; Mammalia; Carnivora; Mustelidae.
UGGAACAUAACAGAAAUUUUACAUUUACUUUUGUGUGAUUUUUGUCUGUAAGCAACGCUGGAUGGAUCAUGAAAACAGGAUCAAGCUGUGUAGAAGUACAGGAUGCAAGUGUUAAAAACAUCGGUCAGCAUCUUGGUUUACCCCAAGUGCCGUGAACCACACCCAUCCACACCUCCUUCCAGGGUGUCAGGAACCUUCCAGACAGCUACUUCCACAAGCAAACUUCAGAAGUUUGCAAGAGAAGGAGAGAAGGAGAGAGUUUGUUUUGUUUAG